RNAcentral lists this transfer RNA (83 nucleotides) under Gynuella sunshinyii YC6258. It matches the Rfam family "tRNA". From Rfam's summary of the family: Transfer RNA (tRNA) molecules are approximately 80 nucleotides in length. Their secondary structure includes four short double-helical elements and three loops (D, anti-codon, and T loops). Further hydrogen bonds mediate the characteristic L-shaped molecular structure. tRNAs have two regions of fundamental functional importance: the anti-codon, which is responsible for specific mRNA codon recognition, and the 3' end, to which the tRNAs corresponding amino acid is attached (by aminoacyl-tRNA synthetases). tRNAs cope with the degeneracy of the genetic code in two manners: having more than one tRNA (with a specific anti-codon) for a particular amino acid; and 'wobble' base-pairing, i.e. permitting non-standard base-pairing at the 3rd anti-codon position. The record is from Rfam by way of RNAcentral. Lineage: Bacteria; Pseudomonadati; Pseudomonadota; Gammaproteobacteria; Oceanospirillales; Saccharospirillaceae.
GCCGAUGUGGUGGAAUUGGUAGACACGCCAUCUUGAGGGGGUGGUGAGCAUCGCUCAUGCUAGUUCGAGUCUAGUCAUCGGCA